GGAGAGGCAAGCGUUGUCCGGAAUCAUUGGGGCGUAAAGAGCGCGUAGGCUGUUUUUCAAGUCAUAUGUGAAAACCUCAGGGCUCAACUUGAGGGACUGCAUAUGAAACUGAAUAACUUGAGUGCAGUAGGGGAAAGUGGAAUUCCUGGUGUAGCGGUGAAAUGCGCAGAUAUCAGGAAGAACACCCGGUAGCGAAGGCGGCUUUCUGGGCUGCUACUGACGCUGAGGCGCGAAAGCUAGGGGAGCAAACAGGAUUAGAUACCCUGGUAGUCCUAGCUGUAAACGAUGGACACUAGGUGUGGGAAGUUAUCGACGCUUUCCGUGCCGGAGCUAACGCAUUAAGUGUCCCGCCUGGGGAGUACGGCCGCAAGGCUA
Molecule: ribosomal RNA, 375 nt
Filed under: uncultured organism
Description: partial 16S ribosomal RNA
Rfam family: Bacterial small subunit ribosomal RNA
Source: RNAcentral